RNAcentral lists this non-coding RNA (99 nucleotides) under bovine gut metagenome. Its description in RNAcentral is "SAM riboswitch (S box leader)". It matches the Rfam family "SAM riboswitch aptamer (S box leader)". From Rfam's summary of the family: The SAM riboswitch is found upstream of a number of genes which code for proteins involved in methionine or cysteine biosynthesis in Gram-positive bacteria. The SAM riboswitch acts at the level of transcription termination control. The predicted structure consists of a complex stem-loop region followed by a single stem loop terminator region. The record is from RNAcentral. RNAcentral also lists the same sequence under 1 other name.
CUUAUCCGGAGUGACUGAGGGAACAGGCCCUAUGACGUCCGACAACCUACCCGAAAAUCGGGCAAGGUGCCAAAUCCUGCGGUCUGACCGAAAGAUGAG